UCCGAGUUGACCCCGGCAGUCUCGCAUGAGUCCCCAACUAAAUGCUGGCAACAUGCGACGGGGGUUGCGCUCGUUGCGGGACUUAACCCAACAUCUCACGACACGAGCUGACGACAGCCAUGCACCACCUGUGAUCGCGCCCCGAAGGGAGGGUGUGUUCCCACACCUGUCACGAACAUGUCAAGCCCAGGUAAGGUUCUUCGCGUUGCGUCGAAUUAAACCGCAUGCUCCACCGCUUGUGCGGGCCCCCGUCAAUUCCUUUGAGUUUCAGUCUUGCGGCCGUACUCCCCAGGCGGAACACUUAUCGCGUUGGCUUCGGCACGGACAGAUUCGACUCCGCCCACACCUAGUGUUCAUCGUUUACGGCGUGGACUAC
This 376-nucleotide unclassified non-coding RNA is filed under the name uncultured Actinomycetes bacterium. RNAcentral's name for it is "uncultured actinobacterium contains 16S-23S intergenic spacer region". Lineage: Bacteria; Bacillati; Actinomycetota; Actinomycetes. The record is from RNAcentral.